GUCUUAUUGAAAAUAAUUUUAAGUCAAAUCUGCUCAAUGAAUAAAUUUAAAUAGCUGCAGUAUAAAUAACUGUACAAAGGUAGCAUAAUAAUUUGUUUUCUAAUUAAAAACUAGAAUGAAUGAUUUAAUGAAAUAUAAACUGUAUCAAAUUUAAAAAAUAAACUUUUUAUUUAAAUAAAAAAAUUUAAAUAAUUUUUAAAGACGAGAAGACCCUAUAGAAUUUUUAUAAUAAAUUUUAAUAUUAUUAAUUUUAUUAUAUUAAUUGGGGAAAUUUUAAAAUUAAAAAAAUUUUUAAUUAAAUAAACAUAAAUUUUUGAAUAUUUAUAAUUUUUUAAAAAAUUAAAUUUAAUUACCUUAGGGAUAACAGCAUAAUUUUUUUAAAAAGUUCAAAUUUAUAAAAAAGUUUAU
RNAcentral lists this ribosomal RNA (408 nucleotides) under Cotesia melanoscela. Its description in RNAcentral is "partial 16S ribosomal RNA". The record is from RNAcentral. Lineage: Eukaryota; Metazoa; Arthropoda; Insecta; Hymenoptera; Braconidae.